ACUCCAAAAACAAACAAAACUCAAACAAAAAAAAUAUUAUUUUAAUUUUAAUUUCAUAAAACUUUUUUUUUUUUUGGGAGAGAGAAGGGGGAGGGGGAGUCUCAAAGAUUUUGCUGGCAAGCCAAAAACCAAAGCUCCCUCCGAUUUGCAGAGAGAAUCCAAAGGACAAACAGGCAGCCUAUAGAGAAACAGAAUACCCAAAAAAGGAAAAAAUUAAACGAAGAAACAACGAGAACGCGAAGAACAGAAACAGCAAAUCCAAAGGAACCAACAAAAACGAAAGAAAAAAAAGAGAGACAAACAGUGUCUUAAUUUUUGACAGAAAAAAAAAAAACCAAUUCCAAUUCCAAUUCUUCUUAGUUAUCCAAUCAGUUGAAUGUGUUAUUAAUCUUGACUGCGUUUUGAAAUUUCCCAUUGUUAAUUUGGGAUUUUUGCCAGUUUGAAAUCGGAAGGGGGGGCAAAAGAGUCAUGGUGGAGAACCGACCCUGCGAGUCGUGUUUGGUGUUUGCAAGCUCUUGUCAACAAGAAACCAAGUCGGGUUACAAGUACAAUGGGAAGCGUCCACUGGAAUUCGCCGAAUCCGAUGGUUGUUGUCGAGAAACCAAGUUGUCUAAGCAAUCUUCCGAUGAUUCCUCCAGCGACGAUAACGAUACUAAUACUUCUUCCCCACAAGAGUCACGUGACCUCCUUCUGCCUGAUUCACGUGAUCAAUCCGACGAUGAUAGUAAGCAAUCUGAUUCUUCUUCGGAUUUGGAUUCUUCACUUAUGCAGUGCUACCCCAUUGGACUAAGCAAAACAGAUCUGAAUAACCAAUCAGAUGAUGACAGCCUGUCGGAUUCUAUGGAGGAAUCACCGGAGGAACGGUCUGAGGAAGACGAUGAUGAUAAUGAUGAUAACGGCUUUUUGGAUUCUCCCGAGGAGGAGGAGGAGAGGGAGGAAGGGGAUGGAUACCAGAGACAUGCUGGUGAUGAUGAUGAUGAUAACAACGGCUUUUUGGAUUCUCCUGAGGAGGAGGAGAGGGAGGAAGUGAAUGGAUACAGGAGGCAUGUUGGUGAUGAUGAUGUUAAUGAUUUUUUGGAUGAUGACGGCUUUUUGGAUUUUCCUGAGGAGGAGGGGGAGGAAGGAAAUGGAUACCGGAGACAUGCUGGUGAUGAUGAUGAUACCGGCUUUUCGGAUUCUCUUGAGGAGGAGGAGGAGGAGGAGGAGGGGGAGGAAGGGGAUGGAUACUGGAGACAUGCUGGUGAUUCCUCGUCAGAUUUGGAUGAGCUAAUCCAACCAAUUGGGAGAGACAACUCCAUCAGUUGUCUAAUUAAGUGCUCAAGGUCUGAUUAUCGUUCCAUUGCCUGUUUGAACCGGAGUUUUCGUUCCCUAAUUAGGAGUGGAGAGAUCUAUAAGUUGAGGAGGCAGAAUAGUGUGAUUGAACAUUGGGUUUACUUUUCUCGUCAACUCCUUCAAUGGGAGGCAUUUGAUCCAAUUCGAGAUAGGUGGAUGAAUUUGCCAAGUAUGCCUCCCAAUGAAUGUUUCAUUUUUUCUGAUAAGGAAUCCUUGGCUGUGGGAACUGAGUUGCUUGUAUUUGGGAAGGAGGUGACUUCUCAGGUGAUAUAUAGAUAUAGUAUUUUGACGAACUCAUGGACUUCUGGGACCAGUAUGAAUGUUCCAAGGUGUUUGUUUGGAUCAGCUAGUCUUGGAGAGAUUGCAAUUUUAGCUGGUGGUUGUGAUUCUUGUGGUAAUAUCCUGAGCUCUGCAGAAAUGUACAAUUCUGAGACUCAGAAAUGGGAGACUCUCCCAAGCAUGAAUAAGCCAAGGAAGAUGUGUAGUGGGGUAUUUAUGGAUAAGAAAUUCUAUGUAAUUGGGGGAAUCAGAGGAGUGGGGAAUGAUGCACAGGUUCUCACUUGUGGUGAGGAGUAUGAUUUAGAGACAAGAAAGUGGACUGAAAUCCCUAACAUGGCUCCUGGAACGAGUGGAUUAUUCAGUCAGCCUGCGGUGCCGGCAGCUGGAGCACCCCCUCUGGUUGCAGUAGUAAAUAAUCAAUUGUAUGCUGCUGAUCAUGCUGACAUGGAGGUAAAGAAGUAUGAUAAGGAGAGCAAAUCAUGGUUGGCUAUUGGAAGAUUGCCUGAUAGAGCAGUUUCAAUGAAUGGUUGGGGUCUUGCAUUCAGAGCAUGUGGAGAUCGCCUUAUAGUGAUUGGUGGACCUGGGGCUUUGGGUGAAGGUUUUAUAGAGGUCAAUUCAUGGGUUCCAAGCGAAGGGCCUCCAGAAUGGAACUUGCUUGCCAGAAGGCGAUCGGGUAACUUUGUGUAUAAUUGUGCUGUGAUGGGAUGCUAAGAGAUGGGUUUUGGUGGCAUCAUGUGCAGUGGAAUGGUGCCGCACUGCCACUGGGGUUUACAUGAUUGGUUUCUCCUUCAACACAGAAUUCUGAUUUCUUGCUAAUGGGUUGGACAAUUUCAGUAUUCUAUUUCAGUGGAUGCUACCGGCCUUGUUCUUCGUAAAUAUACCGUUAGCAUGGCGACAAUCUAUUGUAUGAAACAUCUCUAUGGAGUUAAGAGCAUGCUCUGCAAUGACAGAAAAUCUCAGUGUUCAUGGCUUUAGGAAGACCGCAUGUGUCAAAGAAUAUGUCAUAAAGCGUCUCAUAGUAUCAAGGUUUUCAGCAAAUAUCAAGGUUUCACUUGGUGUUGUGAACCUACAAAGAAGUAAACCAGCAAUAAUAGCAUUAGAUACAGUAUGAUAACUGAUCAACUGCAAAUUUGACAUUUCUCCCAUGAUAUUCUUUUUGGGAGUGGCUGCAAAGGAAGUAUUUUUUAGAUGCUAGGUUUCCAAAAAACUAUUUUAUUUAUCUAUAAAGCAAUAUAUAUGUAUCUAUUCAAGGGAAUCGCGAAACAUUGUUCUUCCUUUACAUAGAGAGUCUCAUAGGAUCUAACUCUUGGCUUUUGUGUGGUUGAUACUAGAUAUAGGAGGUCAUUAUAAUUGUCUGGGCUUACAGGAUGACAUACUUAGUCUCUCUGUAUGCAUGUGUUUGUGUGCUUUCUUUUCUUCUGCUCUAUACUUGGGAAUAUGGCGUAUCUUAUCUAUGUUAGUUUACUUUGAAAACGAGUUUUUUUUUUUUACUGUGCAUAUAUGUUUGGAUAUGUCUUUGAAACCAGAGAACUUAGCUGAGGAAAAUUUUGCAAUGCCUGCUAUCCUGUUUGGCCUGUGUUUUUGUAACAGUUCCCUUUACCAUUUUUUUCCUGCUGUAUAUAAUCCAAUUCACACUCCGAUUUCAAUCAGUCCCGCGAAAUUCUAUUAAAUUCUCUUUCUCCUGUUGCUGUUUUCUGUGUGCUGACACAUACUAAAAUCAGUUGGUGGUCCUGUAUCUUUAGUUAUAAUUUUUCUAUACAAUUUUAUAGUCCUCUUGUCAUCUUUAUAGUUGGGGACUUUUUGUGUUGUGCCUCAAUAGUGUAGGGUUUUCUUUCUUUAUUAGUUGGGAAGAAUAAAAAACAAUCAAAUAUUAUAUUCUAAAAAGAUUACCAAUUAUUUAUAUCUAUGGAAUAGGAAGUAUAUGGACGUUGAAUCGUCCAUUUAAUUAUGAAUAUAGUGAGGCCAUGUAACUACAGGGAUUAUUAAGCAAAUAAUCUGUGUCCAUUUAUUAAAAUCAAGCUGCUGCACAAUAGGGACAAUGUAGAGAAGUUUGGUAAGCAGGAAAAACCACCCCCUUCUGCAAAAUAAGUUACUAUUGAGAAUGAGCUUAUCUGCUUCUGUCUGUAUGCUUCAACCCAUAGUGGUUUUGAAUUUACUCUUUCUUGUCUUUUUCAUUUGCUAGAAUUUAAACUAGCCACUG
Durio zibethinus is the source of this 3811-nucleotide non-coding RNA. NCBI's taxonomy places the organism in Eukaryota, Viridiplantae, Streptophyta, Magnoliopsida, Malvales, Malvaceae. The record is from RefSeq and is a predicted model, not a curated record.